Molecule: ribosomal RNA, 229 nt
Filed under: uncultured bacterium
Lineage: Bacteria
Description: partial 16S ribosomal RNA
Rfam family: Bacterial small subunit ribosomal RNA
Source: RNAcentral
GACGAACGCUGGCGGCGCGCUUAACACAUGCAAGUCGAGCGAGAACCAGGCCUUCGGGCCUGGGGACGAGCGGCGAACGGGUGAGUAACACGUGGGUAAUCUGCCCUCGGUUUCGGGAUAGCCCGGGGAAACCCGGACUUAAUACCGAAUGGCCGUCUCGAGCUCUCGGGCGUCGUGAGAAAAGGUAAGCUUCGGCCUCCGACCGAGGAGGAGCCCGCCGGCGGAUUAG